RNAcentral lists this ribosomal RNA (733 nucleotides) under Karenia selliformis. RNAcentral's name for it is "LSU rRNA". It matches the Rfam family "Eukaryotic large subunit ribosomal RNA", at positions 38 to 656 of the family's 3401-position model. Lineage: Eukaryota; Dinophyceae; Gymnodiniales; Kareniaceae. The record is from RNAcentral.
GCAUAUAAGUAAGCGGAGGAUAAGAAACUAAAUAGGAUUCCCUUAGUAAUGGCGAAUGAACAGGGAUAAGCUCAGCAUGGAAAUUGGGGCCUCUGGCCUUGAAUUGUAGUCUUGAGAUGUGCUACCAACGGAGGCGCAGAUGUAAGCCUCUUGGAAAAGAGCGUCAGGGAGGGUGAGAGUCCCGUAUGUCAUCUGCAGUUCUCUGUGCACGGUACAUUUUCCAAGAGUCACGUUCCUCGGGAUUGGAGCGCAAAUUGGGUGGUAAAUUUCAUCUAAAGCUAAAUAUUGGUUCGAGACCGAUAGCAAACAAGUACCAUGAGGGAAAGGUGAAAAGGACUUUGAAAAGAGAGUUAAAAGUGCCUGAAAUUGCUGAAAGGGAAGCGAAUGGAACCAGUUGUUCUUGGCGAGUAUUGGUGUUGUCUAAAGUGAGGGCUUGCCACUUCAGCGCAAGUGUGGUGGCAGGUUUUGAUCUGGAUGCGAUACUGCAUCUCGCCUUGCAUGUCAACGUCAGUUCAUAAUUGAGGAAAACUCUAAGGACUUGGUAAUUUGCUUCCGGGUGACUGAAUGUCUCUAGUGGAACUCAUUUUUGAACUGCUUUUGUAUGUCUUGUUGCAAUGCUCUGCGUGCUUGCCUGUGAUCCGGUGCUUGCUCUGUUUGGCAUGGGGUUGCUGGUGCCUGGAGCAUGUCCUUGACAUAAGUACGAUGACGAAAUGGUUUUAUUCGACCCGUCUUG